GUCAGGGUCCCGUGCGACGCUGAGCCGUGAACCCUGUCAGGUCCGGAAGGAAGCAGCAGUAAGCGGAUUUCAUGCGUGCGCCGCGGGUCAGCCUUGUUCGG
Molecule: signal recognition particle RNA, 101 nt
Filed under: Clostridiales bacterium
Lineage: Bacteria; Bacillati; Bacillota; Clostridia; Eubacteriales
Also listed under: 1 other name
Description: signal recognition particle sRNA small type
Rfam family: Bacterial small signal recognition particle RNA
About the family: The signal recognition particle (SRP) is a universally conserved ribonucleoprotein involved in the co-translational targeting of proteins to membranes. Archaeal SRP consists of a 7S RNA and homologues of the eukaryotic SRP19 and SRP54 proteins. In most bacteria, the SRP consists of a 4.5S RNA and the Ffh protein (a homologue of the eukaryotic SRP54 protein).
Source: RNAcentral